AUUAAGGUGGUAUGGGUGUCUUCCUCCAUCUUGGAUUGUAAAAAACAGAGAACCAAAGGUCCAGAUUUUCUAUCAAGUUAGUAAAAUUUGAUGCAGGAAUGCAGAUAUUUAAUGUGAAUUUUCAUUUAAAAGAAUCAAUUUAUAAGAAUAUAACUUAUAAAUAUUGAUAUUUUUGCAAAUGAUGAUUAUUUUUGGUUGUUCUUAAAAAUAAAUUAAAUUGGCAUUUUAAGGGGAGGUAACUCUAAAACAG
RNAcentral lists this long non-coding RNA (250 nucleotides) under Mytilus galloprovincialis (Mediterranean mussel). The record is from RNAcentral. Lineage: Eukaryota; Metazoa; Mollusca; Bivalvia; Mytilida; Mytilidae.